UACAGAGGUGGCGAGCGUUACUCGGAUUUAUUGGGUGUAAAGGGCAAGUAGGCGUCUCAACAAGUUAGAAGUGAAAUCCUGCAGCUCAACUGCAGAGCUGCUUUUAAAACUGUUGGGAUUGAGACUGGAAGAGGAAAGCGGAAUUCUCGGUGUAAGAGUGAAAUCUGUAGAUAUCGAGAGGAACACCAGUGGCGAAGGCGGCUUUCUGGUCCAGUACUGACGCUGAAUUGCGAAAGCUAGGGGAGCAAACAGG
This 253-nucleotide ribosomal RNA is filed under the name uncultured bacterium. RNAcentral describes it as "partial 16S ribosomal RNA". It matches the Rfam family "Bacterial small subunit ribosomal RNA", at positions 524 to 776 of the family's 1533-position model. The record is from RNAcentral.